AACGUACGCUGGCGGCACGCCUAACACAUGCAAGUCGAACGAAGUAGCAAUACUUAGUGGCAGACGGGUGAGUAACAUGUAGGUAUCUGCCCUUUGGCCUGGAAUAACACGAGGAAACUUGUGCUAAUACCGGAUAAGUCUUUACGGAGAAAGCUUUAUGCACCAUUGGAUGAGCCUGCACUUGAUUAGUUUGUUGGUGGGGUAAUGGCCUACCAAGACUGUGAUCAAUAGCUGAUUUGAGAGGAUGAUCAGCCACAUUGGGACUGAGACACGGCCCAAACUCCUACGGGAGGCAGCAGUGGGGAAUCUUGCACAAUGGAGGAAACUCUGAUGCAGCGAUGCCGCGUGAGUGAAGAAGGCCCUUGGUUGUAAAGCUCUUUCGUCGGGAAGAAAAUGACUGUACCCGAAUAAGAAGGUCCGGCUAACUUCGUGCCAGCAGCCGCGGUAAC
Molecule: ribosomal RNA, 449 nt
Filed under: uncultured bacterium
Lineage: Bacteria
Description: bacterial SSU rRNA
Rfam family: Bacterial small subunit ribosomal RNA
Source: RNAcentral